AAUCAUGAAUGUCACAAAGAGAGUGAAUAGGCCUUUAUUGUUCAUUAUCUCUUCCAGUUCCAGCAUUAGGGGGAGUCACAGAAAAUACAUAAGACCCUGGCUCAAAACUAAUAAAAGGAAGUGGUUCCUCAUGCAACAGUAGUACACCUAUGAAAUUCCAUGCCAUUGGAUGUUAUGGAUAUUUGGAGGUUACCUGGUCUUAAGGAGAGUCUGGUCAAAUUCAUGAACAUGAAGUUAAUUGAGGACUGUGAAAUCUACUAAUGGGAAAUUUCCUAAAGCCCAGGAAGAGAACAGAGAGUGUGCUUGCUUGCUUUGCUGAGUUGAAACCCUGCAGAUGACUCUUCAUUGUCCUCUGAUACUACCAGGUCCAUGGUGCAGCCUUCUUGCAGCUAGUUCUCCUCUCAUGAUUCUACCUGCAGCAUAUGCAGAGGUGCCUGGACAUACCCAGCCAGCUUUCAGGGGCAAACCUGUCACGUGAACUGGCAUGAGAGUGCAC
This 496-nucleotide long non-coding RNA is filed under the name Dromaius novaehollandiae (emu). RNAcentral's name for it is "lncRNA (ENSDNVG00000001124.1)". The record is from RNAcentral. Lineage: Eukaryota; Metazoa; Chordata; Aves; Casuariiformes; Dromaiidae.